Molecule: ribosomal RNA, 345 nt
Filed under: Triticum aestivum (bread wheat)
Lineage: Eukaryota; Viridiplantae; Streptophyta; Magnoliopsida; Poales; Poaceae
Description: partial small subunit ribosomal RNA
Source: RNAcentral
CAAUUAAACCCUGAUGUAGAAGCCGCACUACGAGAAUUCCUUCGGGAAAAUUGGGACAUUUUUGCCUGGCACCCUUCAGAUAUGCCAGGAAUCCCACGCAGGCUGGCAGAGCACAGCCUAAACAUCCUAAAAGCAUUCAAGCCAGUCAAACAGGCUCUUCGACGAUUUUCCGAACCAAAAAGACAGGCAAUGGGAGAGGAGCUAGCCAAACUAUUAGAAGCCGGAUUCAUCAGAGAUAUAAAACAUCCGGACUGGCUAGCGAACCUGGUAAUGGUACCAAAAAAGGACAAAUCCUGGCACCUUUGUGUGGAUUUUAAAGACCUUAAUAAGGCCUGUCCAAAGGAU